RNAcentral lists this ribosomal RNA (1338 nucleotides) under Auraticoccus monumenti. RNAcentral's name for it is "bacterial SSU rRNA". It matches the Rfam family "Bacterial small subunit ribosomal RNA", at positions 37 to 1384 of the family's 1533-position model. Lineage: Bacteria; Bacillati; Actinomycetota; Actinomycetes; Propionibacteriales; Propionibacteriaceae. The record is from RNAcentral.
UGGCGGCGUGCUUAACACAUGCAAGUCGAACGGUAAGGCCCCUUCGGGGGUACACGGCUGGCGAACUGGGUGAGUAACACGUGAGCAACCUGCCUCUGACUUUGGGAUAACAGUAGGAAACUGCUGCUAAUACCGGAUAUCACCUCCUUCUGCAUGGUGGGGGGUUGAAAGCUUUUGCGGUCAGGGAUGGGCUCGCGGCCUAUCAGCUUGUUGGUGAGGUAAUGGCUCACCAAGGCUUCGACGGGUAGCCGGCCUGAGAGGGCGACCGGCCACACUGGGACUGAGAUACGGCCCAGACUCCUACGGGAGGCAGCAGUGGGGAAUAUUGCACAAUGGGCGGAAGCCUGAUGCAGCAACGCCGCGUGCGGGAUGACGGCCUUCGGGUUGUAAACCCGCUUUCACUCAUGACGAAGCGCAAGUGACGGUAGUGAGAGAAGAAGCACCGGCCAACUACGUGCCAGCAGCCGCGGUGAUACGUAGGGUGCGAGCGUUGUCCGGAAUUAUUGGGCGUAAAGAGCUCGUAGGCGGUCUGUCACGUCGGAAGUGAAAACUCAGGGCUCAACCCUGAGCCUGCUUCCGAUACGGGCAGACUUGAGGAAGGUAGGGGAGAACGGAAUUCCUGGUGGAGCGGUGGAAUGCUCAGAUAUCAGGAGGAACACCGGUGGCGAAGGCGGUUCUCUGGACCUUUCCUGACGCUGAGGAGCGAAAGCGUGGGGAGCAAACAGGCUUAGAUACCCUGGUAGUCCACGCCGUAAACGGUGGGCACUAGGUGUGGGGGACAUUCCACGUUCUCCGUGCCGUAGCUAACGCAUUAAGUGCCCCGCCUGGGGAGUACGGCCGCAAGGCUAAAACUCAAAGGAAUUGACGGGGGCCCGCACAAGCGGCGGAGCAUGCUGAUUAAUUCGAUGCAACGCGAAGAACCUUACCUGGGUUUGACAUAUGCCGGAAAGCUGCAGAAGAUGUAGCCCCCCGCAAGGUCGGUAUAUCAGGUGGUGCAUUGCUUGCCGUCAGCUCCGGGCGUGAGAUGUUGGUUAAGUCCCGCAAACGAGCGCAACCCUCGUCCUAUGUUGCCAGCACGUCAUGGUGGGGACUCAUAGGAGACUGCCGGGGUCAACUCGGAGGAAGGUGGGGAUGAGGUCAAGUCAUCAUGCCCCUUAAGUCCAGGGCUUCACGCAUGCUACAAUGGCAGGUACAAACGGCUGCAAAACCGCAAGGUCGAGCGAAUCCGAAAAAGCCUGUCUCAGUUCGGAUUGGGGUCUGCAACUCGACCCCAUGAAGUCGGAGUCGCUAGUAAUCGCAGAUCAGCAACGCUGCGGUGAAUACGUUCCCGGGCCUUGU